This 1108-nucleotide long non-coding RNA is filed under the name Homo sapiens (human). RNAcentral's name for it is "MIR4458 host gene". The record is from RNAcentral. Lineage: Eukaryota; Metazoa; Chordata; Mammalia; Primates; Hominidae.
GGUGACCUCUGCAUUCCACGGGACAUGAUGCUGGCCUUCUACAGUGCUGAUCAGACCUAGUAAGCACAAAGUCGCAAAUAUCCCAGACACCCUGACCACAGACACACAUGUAUACCAAGGACAGGAAUAAAUACCUAAAACUGUAAGGCACUGCCACCUUCUUAGAUGUCUUGGUGAGAGGUCCACUGUUCAGAGGGCACACUGAGAUAUAAGGCGAAGGCCUUUUUGGAUCUGUAGUGUGCUACCUCUUUAAUGGGAAAUCUUAGAGGCUAUCAGUAUUGAAUGGUGACCAGAGGAAAAUACUGCUCUACAUAUAGGUCUGGGCUGUCAUACAAACUGAUCUGCUACUGGGGCCUCAUGACCUAGCAGAUCCAAAAGUAUUCAACAUGUUUGUGGCAGAUGCAAAUGCUGUUUAGAACCUUCGAGAGGUCGCUGUAGAAGCACAAUGCAAAACUUCAGGAUUUUGGAGCAAAACUUUGUCAUCUUUUGCACACACAGUGUUCUCUUUUGAUAGCUCCUGGUGUGCUACUGGACCUUAGUAGAGAUAGAAUGUCUGACUCUGAGCCACUAAGUAACCAUUCAACCUCUUCUGCCCUUCAAGAACUGGGAAAUGUCUGAAAAAACAAGUAAUGAAACGUGUGUAUAGCAGCACUCCAUUACAAGUUGUAGUUUUAUAUACGAGAUUGGUCUCAAGCAAGACCUAAAGGUAAAAGUAAGAGGCUCAGAUUUGCAUGGCUCCUCCUCUUGCUGCAUUAACUGCUGUCUCUCAACGCAAGCAUACUGUAACAUAUUGAUGGAGGAGGAAAAUGCUGAGUCUCGUUUACUGAUAAUUCUAUGUAACAUGCUGGCAUCACCUAAAGUGGAGAACUGCGAGAUUACUGCCCCAUCCAAGAAAACCCUUCAGCAGCCCCAUUCUUCAGGAACCGUGAAGGACUAUGGCAAAGAGAUGAUAAAUAGCCAAAGACGUCAAUGGCACCCAUGGACAUAGUAAGCAUAGUAGGAGCUGAAAAACUAGAAGCAAUGACAAUGUCAACUAUUUUGAGCAAAAAGAAGCAGUGUCUUCGGAACAUUUGAUCAUAAAACCAGAAAUUAAAGGAUGAGAAAAACA